Molecule: ribosomal RNA, 497 nt
Filed under: uncultured bacterium
Lineage: Bacteria
Description: partial 16S ribosomal RNA
Rfam family: Bacterial small subunit ribosomal RNA
Source: RNAcentral
GAUGAACGCUGGCGGCGUGCCUAAUACAUGCAAGUCGAGCGAACAGACGAGGAGCUUGCUCCUCUGACGUUAGCGGCGGACGGGUGAGUAACACGUGGAUAACCUACUUAUAAGACUGGGAUAACUUCGGGAAACCGGAGCUAAUACCGGAUAAUAUAUUGAACCGCAUGGUUCAAUAGUGAAAGACGGCUUUGCUGUCUCUUAUAGAUGGAUCCGCGCCGCAUUAGCUAGUUGGUAAGGUAACGGCUUACCAAGGCAACGAUGCGUAGCCGACCUGAGAGGGUGAUCGGCCACACUGGAACUGAGACACGGUCCAGACUCCUACGGGAGGCAGCAGUAGGGAAUCUUCCGCAAUGGGCGAAAGCUUGACGGAGCAACGCCGCGUGAGUGAUGAAGGUCUUCGGAUCGUAAAACUCUGUUAUUAGGGAAGAACAAAUGUGUAAGUAACUAUGCACGUCUUGACGGUACCUAAUCAGAAAGCCACGGCUAACUACGUG